CUAACAGGAUUCCCCUAGUAACUGCGAGUGAAGCGGGAAGAGCUCAAAUUUUAAAUCUGGUGGCCCUGCCGCCCGAGUUGUAUUCUGGAGAAGCGUUUUCCGCGCCGGACCGUGUGCAAGUCCUUUGGAAUGGGGCGUCGUAGAGGGUGAGAAUCCCGUCUUUGACACGGACCGCCGGCGCCGUACGAUGCGCUCUCGAAGAGUCGAGUUGUUUGGGAAUGCAGCUCAAAAUGGGUGGUAAAUUCCAUCUAAAGCUAAAUAUUGGCGAGAGACCGAUAGCGAACAAGUACCGUGAGGGAAAGAUGAAAAGCACUUCGGAAAGAGAGUAAAACAGUACGUGAAAUUGUUGAAAGGGAAACGCUUGAAGUCAGUCGCGCCUGCUGGAACUCAGCCAUGCUUCUGCUUGGUGCACUUUCCAGUCUGGUGGGCCAGCAUCGGUUUUGGGCGGUGGACACUGGCGUUGGGAAGGUGGCAGCUCCGGCUGUGUUAUAGCCCCUCGUCGCAAACUCCGCCUGGGACCGAGGAAACCGGCGCAAGCCUGGGAUGCUGGCGUAAUGGCUUUAAACGACCC
This 571-nucleotide ribosomal RNA is filed under the name uncultured Trechispora. Its description in RNAcentral is "eukaryotic LSU rRNA". It matches the Rfam family "Eukaryotic large subunit ribosomal RNA", at positions 65 to 650 of the family's 3401-position model. The record is from RNAcentral. Lineage: Eukaryota; Fungi; Basidiomycota; Agaricomycetes; Polyporales; Polyporaceae.